CUGUGGAGAGACAGGCAAGAUAAGCACAAACACAGGCUGCGCACAUCACCAUUUCCUUCACCACAUUGCAAUUGAGCACUUCCUCCUGGACUCUACCUGCUCCUUUCUCCACCUUCCCUGUGUCCAGGCCUUUUGGAGGCAGGUGUUUAUCUUGGUGCUGUCUGUGUUAGCAAGUGAGCAUUCAGCACAUUUGAGCCCACUCGCUUCGCUCUGAAAUAGCCUGCACAGAGUCUUCGUGCCGCACCCUCUCUGGAGCAGCUCCACUUCUGUGUUUUCAAUUGGACUCUCCAGUUCUGCCAUGCAAAAGCUCCAACUCAAUGGACAGCAGCCUCAGUGGAUGGUUUCCAUGCAUACAUCCAGGAAAAUGGGAAAGUUUAAUUGCAUAAAUUAUACGAGAAAGUGAUCUUCCCAUGGCUACUGAGCGAAUAUAUGUUAGCAUGUCAUUGAUGCUAUGCUAAAUCCUAAUGGUUCAUACCGACAUUAAACCCAAGAAUGUUUCUCAGGUGAGAAAGCUGCAGUUGUAUGCAAUAUGCCUACCUUCCUCUUGUGGGAUGCAAAGGAAAACACAUGCAUGCACAGGCAAAUGUUCUUAAACACAC
RNAcentral lists this long non-coding RNA (599 nucleotides) under Homo sapiens (human). RNAcentral's name for it is "HSALNT0037323". Lineage: Eukaryota; Metazoa; Chordata; Mammalia; Primates; Hominidae. The record is from RNAcentral.